This 233-nucleotide unclassified non-coding RNA is filed under the name Madurella sp. RNAcentral describes it as "partial internal transcribed spacer region". The stretch from base 1 to 46 matches the Rfam family "Eukaryotic small subunit ribosomal RNA", at positions 1786 to 1831 of the family's 1831-position model. The record is from RNAcentral. Lineage: Eukaryota; Fungi; Ascomycota; Sordariomycetes; Sordariales.
AAGUCGUAACAAGGUCUCCGUUGGUGAACCAGCGGAGGGAUCAUUACAGAGUUGCAAAACUCCCCAAACCAUUGUGAACCUACCCAAAGAACCGUUGCUUCGGCGGGCGGCGCCCGGGCCUUCCCCGGGCGCCCGCCGGAGGAUUUACACAACACCCUGUUGCUCUGUACGGCCUCUCUGAGUCUCUGUACUUGAAUAAGUCAAAACUUUCAACAACGGAUCUCUUGGUUCUG